UACCACGAUUGGGAUGCAGCGGGUCAGC
This 28-nucleotide non-coding RNA is filed under the name Mus musculus (house mouse). Lineage: Eukaryota; Metazoa; Chordata; Mammalia; Rodentia; Muridae. The record is from RNAcentral.